Molecule: non-coding RNA, 390 nt
Filed under: unclassified sequences
Description: Bacteroidales-2 RNA
Rfam family: Bacteroidales-2 RNA
Source: Rfam by way of RNAcentral
GCACACCCCAGACCUUUUUCAGUCUGGCAGCAACACAUUCGAGCGGUUGGCGGUUGGUGAUUAUGGGCAUAACAUUGGCAAUACCCUUUUCUCAGGCUCCGUGCAGGGUGUUUUUCCUGCAUAGUAACUUUUAUCUCCGAGCGCACAAGGGCGCAUUUAUGGCAUUAUUCUGUUACCUCUCUUUUCUACACGGCUCUCGCACUCCCAAAUUUGCGUGCUUUGCGUGUACGGACUAUUUGCACAAAUAGACCGCUCCAACUUGCUACAUUGGUCUGUAGUUCCGCUCGGUGUGGUUAUUUAACACCCUAUUUAAGCGUUCCGAAACGCACGGACAAUUUUUGAUUUUCCCAGCCUCAAAAAUAGGUUUCCCACAAAAAGGGCUGUUGUUUU